CCCUGGGAAAGAAAAGAAAAGAAAAGAAGAGAAAGAAAAAAAAAGAUAGAAAAAUGUUUCAUCUGGUUUUCUAACUUUUGAGCAUGAAGUUUUUUUUUCUUUUUUUCUUUUCUUUCUCCCCACCCCUGGGAAUU
Molecule: small RNA, 134 nt
Filed under: Marmota monax (woodchuck)
Lineage: Eukaryota; Metazoa; Chordata; Mammalia; Rodentia; Sciuridae
Source: RNAcentral